This is a long non-coding RNA of Cyprinus carpio carpio, 1340 nucleotides long. NCBI's taxonomy places the organism in Eukaryota, Metazoa, Chordata, Actinopteri, Cypriniformes, Cyprinidae. The record is from Ensembl.
GUAAGCCCUGAUUUUUAAUGAUAUCUUGUGUGAGUUUCCUUCUUCUACUGAACACACACAUUCAAACGUCAGUGGCUACCAGCAACUGUUUGGUUACUGACAAUUUUCUCUCUAUAUACAUAUAUUUGUGUUCAACAGAAGAAGAAAAAUUUGGAAUAACAUGAGGAUGACUUUUGUGUAAAAUAUCCCUUUAACUCCUAUUAAUUCCCAGUAUUGGACAUCCAGUACUGGAUUCAAAUCAUGUCAUUCCGAGAGCAGCUUGAGAUGGAGCCGUCCACAGAUGGUCAGUGUUGUGUACACCCAGAGCACAGUGAACUGCGAGGUUGAACGGGCCAGGCAAAGGGUCCACAGAGAAAGGAUGUAUAUACAUUAAAAUGGGAGAAGGAGCACUAACUGGCAUCUGGAGCAUCAGCGGCCAAUCUGGUGCACAUACCACUCAGUGGAGGAACAGGACCACAGGGAAUGUCUGGACAUGCAAAAAGUUUAUGCGGAGUGGAAGAUCAGUGAAAUGCCAAAUGUCAGAACCAGAGAGGAUGAGAAUAUAGCAUAAACGACCUUUUAAACUUUGCUGAUCUUUGAUAAGGCCACAAAUGGAGCAUCUUGGUCCUUCAUCCGUGUUGCUUGUCUCACUCUACCUGGGCUGUUAUCUAACAGGUAGACGCCUGGGCAACUGUGGACUGUGAUGGCAGUAUGUGAUAGCUAGAGCUUUUAAGCACAUCAUCAGACAGACAAUAGAACUGAGAUCAGAGGUGGAUCAUUAAUAAUAAAAAAAUAUGCUUCAUGGUUUUUAAAAGCAUUUUGUUGAUCUCAAACUUGCAAAUCAUGUCCAGAAAAAUCGCUUCCACAAUGCUAGGGUGUUCUGAUGCAAAGACGUUGCUAGGUGGUUGCUAGGACAUUCUGGAUGGUUAAAGAGCCCUAAUUUAAGUAUUAUUUAUAGAAUAUUAUAGUUUUUAUUAAUAUUUUGAAUUAGCUUAUAUUAUAUUUAUAUUUUCAAUUUAUUUAAAAUUAAGUUUUAGUAAUUUAAUGUGCUUUUGUCAUUUUUUAUUUAUUUUUUUAUAUUUCUGUUUUUAACUUUUUGAUAUUUUAAAAUUUUUUAAUAUUUAUAAAGUUUAAAGUUAUUUCAGUUUAAGUAGUUUCAGUAAGUUGACAAGGCAACAUUUCUUAUUUUUAUUUUCUAAUAAAAUAUUUUAAGUUCUAAUAUUUACAUUUCAUUUUAUUUCAGCUUUAUUACAGUUACCUAAAGCUGAUGAUUAAUAGGUUUGUAAUGAUAAUAAUUAUAAAUAAUAAUAAAGAUUAAUAAUUGUCAUUUUAUAGUGCAGUAUUUUUUUAAUAUAUGCUAU